AAAUUGAAGAGUUUGAUCAUGGCUCAGAUUGAACGCUGGCGGCAGGCCUAACACAUGCAAGUCGAGCGGUAGCACAGAGAGCUUGCUCUCGGGUGACGAGCGGCGGACGGGUGAGUAAUGUCUGGGAAACUGCCUGAUGGAGGGGGAUAACUACUGGAAACGGUAGCUAAUACCGCAUAACGUCGCAAGACCAAAGUGGGGGACCUUCGGGCCUCAUGCCAUCAGAUGUGCCCAGAUGGGAUUAGCUAGUAGGUGGGGUAACGGCUCACCUAGGCGACGAUCCCUAGCUGGUCUGAGAGGAUGACCAGCCACACUGGAACUGAGACACGGUCCAGACUCCUACGGGAGGCAGCAGUGGGGAAUAUUGCACAAUGGGCGCAAGCCUGAUGCAGCCAUGCCGCGUGUGUGAAGAAGGCCUUCGGGUUGUAAAGCACUUUCAGCGGGGAGGAAGGCGGUGAGGUUAAUAACCUUAUCGAUUGACGUUACCCGCAGAAGAAGCACCGGCUAACUCCGUGCCAGCAGCCGCGGUAAUACGGAGGGUGCAAGCGUUAAUCGGAAUUACUGGGCGUAAAGCGCACGCAGGCGGUCUGUCAAGUCGGAUGUGAAAUCCCCGGGCUCAACCUGGGAACUGCAUUCGAAACUGGCAGGCUAGAGUCUUGUAGAGGGGGGUAGAAUUCCAGGUGUAGCGGUGAAAUGCGUAGAGAUCUGGAGGAAUACCGGUGGCGAAGGCGGCCCCCUGGACAAAGACUGACGCUCAGGUGCGAAAGCGUGGGGAGCAAACAGGAUUAGAUACCCUGGUAGUCCACGCCGUAAACGAUGUCGAUUUGGAGGUUGUGCCCUUGAGGCGUGGCUUCCGGAGCUAACGCGUUAAAUCGACCGCCUGGGGAGUACGGCCGCAAGGUUAAAACUCAAAUGAAUUGACGGGGGCCCGCACAAGCGGUGGAGCAUGUGGUUUAAUUCGAUGCAACGCGAAGAACCUUACCUGGUCUUGACAUCCACAGAACUU
Molecule: ribosomal RNA, 1006 nt
Filed under: Klebsiella pneumoniae
Lineage: Bacteria; Pseudomonadati; Pseudomonadota; Gammaproteobacteria; Enterobacterales; Enterobacteriaceae
Description: bacterial SSU rRNA
Rfam family: Bacterial small subunit ribosomal RNA
Source: RNAcentral